UACGGGAGGCAGCAGUGGGGAAUAUUGCACAAUGGGCGAAAGCCUGAUGCAGCUAUGCCGCGUGUAUGAAGAAGGCCUUAGGGUUGUAAAGUACUUUCAUCGGGGAGGAAAAAACAAAACUAAUAAUUUUAUUUCUUGACGUUACCCGAAAAAGAAGCACCGGCUAACUCCGUGCCAGCAGCCGCGGUAAUACGGAGGGUGCUAGCGUUAAUCAGAAUUACUGGGCGUAAAGAGCACGUAGGUGGUUUUUUUAAGUCAGAUGUGAAAUCCCUGGGCUUAACCUAGGAACUGCAUUUUGAAACUGAAAUACUAGAGUAUCGUAGAGGGAGGUAGAAUUCUAGGUGUAGCGGUGAAAUGCGUAGAUAUCUGGAGGAAUACCUGUGGCGAAAGCGGCCUCCUAAACGAAUACUGACACUGAGGGUGCGAAAGCGUGGGGAGCAAACAGGGAUUAGGAUACC
This 458-nucleotide ribosomal RNA is filed under the name uncultured bacterium. RNAcentral describes it as "bacterial SSU rRNA". It matches the Rfam family "Bacterial small subunit ribosomal RNA", at positions 340 to 786 of the family's 1533-position model. The record is from RNAcentral.